CCCGCACAAGCGGAGGAACAUGUGGUUUAAUUCGAUGAUACGCGAGGAACCUUACCCGGGCCUGAACUGCACAGGAAGGAUACAGAGAUGUUGACGCCCUUCGGGGCCUGUGUGGAGGUGCUGCAUGGUUGUCGUCAGCUCGUGCCGUGAGGUGUCGGCUUAAGUGCCAUAACGAGCGCAACCCCUUUCGCCAGUUGCCAUCAGGUGAUGCUGGGCACUCCGGCGACACUGCCACCGCAAGGUGCGAGGAAGGUGGGAAUGACGUCAAAUCAGCACGGCCCUUACGUCCGGGGCUACACACGUGUUACAAUGGGUGGUACAGAGAGUCAGGCGUUGGCAACACCGCCUUAAUCCAUAAAGCCAUCCUCAGUUCGGAUUGGGGUCUGCAACCCGACCCCAUGAAGCUGGAUUCGCUAGUAAUCGCGCAUCAGCCAUGGCGCGGUGAAUACGUUCCCGGGCCUUGUACACACCGCCCGUCAAGCCAUGAAAGCCGGGGGUGCCUGAA
This 505-nucleotide ribosomal RNA is filed under the name uncultured bacterium. RNAcentral's name for it is "bacterial SSU rRNA". It matches the Rfam family "Bacterial small subunit ribosomal RNA", at positions 920 to 1425 of the family's 1533-position model. The record is from RNAcentral.